RNAcentral lists this ribosomal RNA (254 nucleotides) under uncultured bacterium. Its description in RNAcentral is "partial 16S ribosomal RNA". It matches the Rfam family "Bacterial small subunit ribosomal RNA", at positions 79 to 334 of the family's 1533-position model. The record is from RNAcentral.
CUUUCUUUGCUGGCGACCGGCGCACGGGUGAGUACCACGUAUCCAACCUGCCCUUUACUCGGGGAUAGCCUUUCGAAAGAAAGAUUAAUACCCGAUAGUAUAAUGAUUCCGCAUGGUUUCAUUAUUAAAGGAUUCCGGUAAAGGAUGGGGAUGCGUUCCAUUAGGUUGUUGGUGAGGUAACGGCUCACCAAGCCUUCGAUGGAUAGGGGUUCUGAGAGGAAGGUCCCCCACAUUGGAACUGAGACACGGUCCAA